GUGGGGAAUAUUGGACAAUGGGCGAAAGCCUGAUCCAGCCAUGCCGCGUGUGUGAAGAAGGUCUUCGGAUUGUAAAGCACUUUAAGUUGGGAGGAAGGGUAGUAACCUAAUACGUUGCUACUUUGACGUUACCGACAGAAUAAGCACCGGCUAACUUCGUGCCAGCAGCCGCGGUAAUACGAAGGGUGCAAGCGUUAAUCGGAAUUACUGGGCGUAAAGCGCGCGUAGGUGGUUCAGUAAGUUGGAAGUGAAAUCCCCGGGCUCAACCUGGGAACUGCCUCCAAAACUGCAUGACUAGAGUACGGUAGAGGGUAGUGGAAUUUCCUGUGUAGCGGUGAAAUGCGUAGAUAUAGGAAGGAACACCAGUGGCGAAGGCGACUACCUGGACUGAUACUGACACUGAGGUGCGAAAGCGUGGGGAGCAAACAGGAUUAGAAACCCGGGUAGUCC
RNAcentral lists this ribosomal RNA (450 nucleotides) under uncultured bacterium. RNAcentral's name for it is "bacterial SSU rRNA". It matches the Rfam family "Bacterial small subunit ribosomal RNA", at positions 354 to 796 of the family's 1533-position model. The record is from RNAcentral.